UGCAAGUCGAACGAGAGAUGAAGAGCUUGCUCUUCAAAUCGAGUGGCGAACGGGUGAGUAACGCGUGAGGAACCUGCCUCAAAGAGGGGGACAACAGUUGGAAACGACUGCUAAUACCGCAUAAGCCCACAGCUCGGCAUCGAGCAGAGGGAAAAGGAGCAAUCCGCUUUGAGAUGGCCUCGCGUCCGAUUAGCUAGUUGGUGAGGUAAUGGCCCACCAAGGCGACGAUCGGUAGCCGGACUGAGAGGUUGAACGGCCACAUUGGGACUGAGACACGGCCCAGACUCCUACGGGAGGCAGCAGUGGGGAAUAUUGCACAAUGGGGGAAACCCUGAUGCAGCGACGCCGCGUGGAGGAAGAAGGUCUUCGGAUUGUAAACUCCUGUUGUUGAGGAAGAUAAUGACGGUACUCAACAAGGAAGUGACGGCUAACUACGUGCCAGCAGCCGCGGUAAAACGUAGGUCACAAGCGUUGUCCGGAAUUACUGGGUGUAAAGGGAGCGCAGGCGGGAGAACAAGUUGGAAGUGAAAUCCAUGGGCUCAACCCAUGAACUGCUUUCAAAACUGUUUUUCUUGAGUAGUGCAGAGGUAGGCGGAAUUCCCGGUGUAGCGGUGGAAUGCGUAGAUAUCGGGAGGAACACCAGUGGCGAAGGCGGCCUACUGGGCACCAACUGACGCUGAGGCUCGAAAGUGUGGGUAGCAAACAGGAUUAGAUACCCUGGUAGUCCACACCGUAAACGAUGAUUACUAGGUGUUGGAGGAUUGACCCCUUCAGUGCCGCAGUUAACACAAUAAGUAAUCCACCUGGGG
Molecule: ribosomal RNA, 809 nt
Filed under: uncultured bacterium
Lineage: Bacteria
Description: bacterial SSU rRNA
Rfam family: Bacterial small subunit ribosomal RNA
Source: RNAcentral